RNA transcript from Pongo pygmaeus (Bornean orangutan), 1558 nucleotides. It is a transcript of the gene named cytochrome c oxidase assembly factor 8, with no coding region annotated. The record is from RefSeq and is a predicted model, not a curated record. NCBI's taxonomy places the organism in Eukaryota, Metazoa, Chordata, Mammalia, Primates, Hominidae. The transcript has 4 exons.
CCUAAUGCACGUUUCAAGCUCUUGCUUUCUAUCAAACGGCUCGCUCAAGGUGGGUAACCAAUGGAAACGCAUCAUCCAUCCCCGGCGGAUGUCGUGGACGCCACGGAGGGAAGGCGGCCCGAGCUCCUUCCUCCCCGCCUCGCCCUUCCCUCUUGGCCCUUUACCCAGAAGAGGUCUGAAUUGGCCGCGGUCUUGGCGUCCCGUGGCUGAGGUGGCGAGGUGGAAGAUCAGCCCUUUACGGGGUGCGGCACCGGAGCUGGGCCCCCAGCUGCAUCCCUCGCACCCCUCCCGACUAGGUCUGAGCGGGGCAGCCGGUGAAGGGGCCGGCGGUGAAGGGGCCGCUACUGGCUGCAGCAGCCGCUCCGGGCGUCUCGGCCCGGCUGCCAGGACGCGCCCGCAGGGCCUGACCUCACAAUGGGCGCGCGAGGGGCGCUCUGCCCGGCCGGGAGAAGCCGGGGGAGGAGGGGAACCGAGGCCCGGCCAGCCCCGGCCAGUGUCCGACCCAGGGGCGGGGACGGCGCCGAGACCGACUCUGCCCUGCCUGAUCCGACAGGCCGCGCGGGGGUGGGCGCUGGCGAAGGGGUGGCCCAGCGGGGAACCCCGCGCGCAGGUGGUGCCCCACUCGUCCCCCCGACGGAGGAAAAGGCUACAAGCCGCGCUUCGCUCACCUGUCCCGCCCGCGCCAUCGCGCGAUGCGUCGCCGACGCUUCCACGACUUCCGCAGCUCCGGCCGUCGCCCGGGCCCGGCAGCCCCGCCCCUGGCCGAACACCCCUAAACCCGGGGACACCUCCUCCGGCGUCCGCGCCUAGCCGCCGACAGGGCCACGCCCACCGCCAGCGGCGCAGCGAGGCAGCCUGGAGUGACUGCGACCAAGGAGCUGCCGCCCGGGUCAGCCCGCGCCGCCCGCCGACUCCUCACCCCGUCGCCCCGCUGGGAAAGUGCACGGUCGGCCGCGCCGCCGAGCUGCCUCGGGCUUCGCGACCCUGCCGUAAAGCGGCCCCUCGCGCCGUCGCAAUGCUGCCGUGCGCCGCAGGAGCCAGGGGGCGUGGGGCCAUGGUGGCCUUGCGGGCGGGGAAGAAGACCUUUCUCCCCCGUCUCUGCCGCGCCUUCGCCUGCCGCGGCUGUCAACUCGCUCCGGAGCGCGGCGCCGAGCGCAGGGAUACGGCGCCCAGCGGGAGACGGGUUUCACCAUGUUGGCCAGGCUGGUCUUGAACUAUUGACCUCAGAUGAUCUGCUCACCUCAGCCUCCCAAAGUGCUGGGAUUACAGGUCUCAAGAUUCUGCCCUCCAAGAAAGUCUUGCCAUGAUUGGAUAGGACCCCCAGAUAAAUAUUCAAACCUUCGACCUGUUCACUUUUACAUACCUGAAAAUGAAUCUCCAUUGGAACAAAAGCUUAGAAAAUUAAGACAAGAAACACAAGAAUGGAAUCAACAGUUCUGGGCAAACCAGAAUUUGACUUUUAGUAAGGUCAGAAAGCAACAUUGAAUGCAGAAGAAAUGGCGGACUUUUACAAGGAAUUUUUAAGUAAAAAUUUUCAGAAGCACAUGUAUUAUAACAG